UACGAAGGGUGCUAGCGUUGUUCGGAAUUACUGGGCGUAAAGGGCGUGUAGGCGGCCGUAUAAGUCAGAUGUGAAAGCCCCGGGCUUAACCUGGGAAUUGCAUUUGAGACUGUAUGGCUAGAGAUCGAGAGAGGAAAGUGGAAUUACGAGUGUAGAGGUGAAAUUCGUAGAUAUUCGUAAGAACACCAGUGGCGAAGGCGACUUUCUGGCUCGAAACUGACGCUAAGGCGCGAAAGCGUGGGGAGCAAACAGG
This 253-nucleotide ribosomal RNA is filed under the name uncultured organism. Its description in RNAcentral is "partial 16S ribosomal RNA". It matches the Rfam family "Bacterial small subunit ribosomal RNA", at positions 524 to 776 of the family's 1533-position model. The record is from RNAcentral.